RNAcentral lists this long non-coding RNA (772 nucleotides) under Sorghum bicolor (sorghum). RNAcentral describes it as "long non-coding RNA (SBIC_LNC013099)". The record is from RNAcentral. Lineage: Eukaryota; Viridiplantae; Streptophyta; Magnoliopsida; Poales; Poaceae.
UACCUUAUUGUUAGUAAGGCUCUUCAUUACAGUUUCAGGGUCUUCUAGCUAGCUAGAGAUCGGAAGGGAGCUAUAUCAUAGUCACAAAGUUCCCUGUAUGUAGGGUACGAUGAACGAAACGGGAUCGUCGAUUUGAUGUGUUCCCGGUUCGUAAGGGGUUUACCUCUUCGGAGUGAUUGAUUUGAGGAGUGGAUCAUGAUCCAUAUGUAACUGGAGUGAUGUUCCCGGGACGUAGCUAUGGAAUGCGGGAUAUUUUUAGACCAAAGGGUUAUAGCCCAGCUUAUAUUGAAAGCUUAACAAGGAUUUUACUGAUACCGAUUUACAAUAAACGCGUUCGAAACACUCCCCCACAAACCAAAGCACCACAACAUAUACCAGAAAACAGCCUCGAUCCUACCAAAAGAUCACAACCUCCGUCUCAGAGGACUACUCAAAAAAAGAGAAAAAAAUUUAAAAGACGUACGCUUGGCCUGCAUCUAAACAUAUACAGGUAUAUAUUUUUCGUCAUUGUUCAACCACUCUUGGCACGAACUCACCUAGCAUUCUGGAUGUGUUUUAUUUUUAUGUUCUCUUAGCCACCUCAGAUUAAGGAUGAAAACGGUCAAAAAAACUUCUAAAUUGUUUUCUAUUUCUACAUUUGAAAUACGAAAACGAAAACAAAAAUGGUAAACUCGGACACAAAAACGAACACGAACUUACGAAAUAUCGAGAAUUUCGAAAACGAACCAAUUCGAGCGGAUUAUGUCGAACACGGUCGAUAUAUGGAAACUCA